This 1388-nucleotide ribosomal RNA is filed under the name Streptococcus thermophilus. Its description in RNAcentral is "bacterial SSU rRNA". It matches the Rfam family "Bacterial small subunit ribosomal RNA", at positions 58 to 1430 of the family's 1533-position model. Lineage: Bacteria; Bacillati; Bacillota; Bacilli; Lactobacillales; Streptococcaceae. The record is from RNAcentral.
CAAGUAGAACGCUGAAGAGAGGAGCUUGCUCUUCUUGGAUGAGUUGCGAACGGGUGAGUAACGCGUAGGUAACCUGCCUUGUAGCGGGGGAUAACUAUUGGAAACGAUAGCUAAUACCGCAUAACAAUGGAUGACACAUGUCAUUUAUUUGAAAGGGGCAAUUGCUCCACUACAAGAUGGACCUGCGUUGUAUUAGCUAGUAGGUGAGGUAAUGGCUCACCUAGGCGACGAUACAUAGCCGACCUGAGAGGGUGAUCGGCCACACUGGGACUGAGACACGGCCCAGACUCCUACGGGAGGCAGCAGUAGGGAAUCUUCGGCAAUGGGGGCAACCCUGACCGAGCAACGCCGCGUGAGUGAAGAAGGUUUUCGGAUCGUAAAGCUCUGUUGUAAGUCAAGAACGGGUGUGAGAGUGGAAAGUUCACACUGUGACGGUAGCUUACCAGAAAGGGACGGCUAACUACGUGCCAGCAGCCGCGGUAAUACGUAGGUCCCGAGCGUUGUCCGGAUUUAUUGGGCGUAAAGCGAGCGCAGGCGGUUUGAUAAGUCUGAAGUUAAAGGCUGUGGCUCAACCAUAGUUCGCUUUGGAAACUGUCAAACUUGAGUGCAGAAGGGGAGAGUGGAAUUCCAUGUGUAGCGGUGAAAUGCGUAGAUAUAUGGAGGAACACCGGUGGCGAAAGCGGCUCUCUGGUCUGUAACUGACGCUGAGGCUCGAAAGCGUGGGGAGCGAACAGGAUUAGAUACCCUGGUAGUCCACGCCGUAAACGAUGAGUGCUAGGUGUUGGAUCCUUUCCGGGAUUCAGUGCCGCAGCUAACGCAUUAAGCACUCCGCCUGGGGAGUACGACCGCAAGGUUGAAACUCAAAGGAAUUGACGGGGGCCCGCACAAGCGGUGGAGCAUGUGGUUUAAUUCGAAGCAACGCGAAGAACCUUACCAGGUCUUGACAUCCCGAUGCUAUUUCUAGAGAUAGAAAGUUACUUCGGUACAUCGGUGACAGGUGGUGCAUGGUUGUCGUCAGCUCGUGUCGUGAGAUGUUGGGUUAAGUCCCGCAACGAGCGCAACCCCUAUUGUUAGUUGCCAUCAUUCAGUUGGGCACUCUAGCGAGACUGCCGGUAAUAAACCGGAGGAAGGUGGGGAUGACGUCAAAUCAUCAUGCCCCUUAUGACCUGGGCUACACACGUGCUACAAUGGUUGGUACAACGAGUUGCGAGUCGGUGACGGCGAGCUAAUCUCUUAAAGCCAAUCUCAGUUCGGAUUGUAGGCUGCAACUCGCCUACAUGAAGUCGGAAUCGCUAGUAAUCGCGGAUCAGCACGCCGCGGUGAAUACGUUCCCGGGCCUUGUACACACCGCCCGUCACACCACGAGAGUUUGUAACACCCGAAGUCGG